GGAAAGAAUCUUGCAUUUAAAGUGACCCCCCUCUGCCUGGCAGGCCACAACUCAGAGCCACACCACCUGACUGCCAAGCGUCUAGGUCCUUCCUCUGAGAUUUCUUGGCUCAGGCCACCUGUAGGCUUCAGAAGGAUGGUACACAGGAGGUAAGGAAGCCCCUGCGGCCUCUCUGUCUUCUCACCCCCAGAA
Molecule: long non-coding RNA, 192 nt
Filed under: Fukomys damarensis (Damara mole-rat)
Lineage: Eukaryota; Metazoa; Chordata; Mammalia; Rodentia; Bathyergidae
Description: lncRNA (ENSFDAG00000028989.1)
Source: RNAcentral